GAUCCCAUCUCUAAGCUGUGAGGUGUCUUGUCUCCUCUGAAAGGACUUUAGAGAUGGCAGUUGAGACUCCCUGGAAUGUCUCCUUUACCUGGUUUAAGGAUGUGUCCGGCUUAGAGCUAAUUUGGCCCUUGGUUUGAGGCUGAAGUGGAUUCUGGACACCUUGUCUCCACUGGUCUGUGUCUCACCAUUUGGCUGCAUCAUUUAUCUGGAAUACCCCUGAUGUCAAAGGAGAUAAUAGACGGGGAAGAAAUUUAACAUCAUAAAUGACUGGACUUGCGUAAGAGCUAUUAUCAACAUCAGCAUCACCACCCUUCUCAGUUGAACACAGAACUCUAGGGGUAAUACCAGUCUGGGCCCUGCUUUCCCGAAGCCUACCAAACAAAACAAGGCAUUUAGGGGUCCAGGGUCAUUUAAGCCCUAAAACAACCUUCAACUAAAUUCAUGAGAUAAUUGCUUCAAUUUUCUGCUUUG
Talpa occidentalis (Iberian mole) is the source of this 471-nucleotide long non-coding RNA. RefSeq lists it as uncharacterized. The record is from RefSeq and is a predicted model, not a curated record. Lineage: Eukaryota; Metazoa; Chordata; Mammalia; Eulipotyphla; Talpidae. The transcript has 3 exons.